Molecule: long non-coding RNA, 3151 nt
Filed under: Octopus vulgaris (common octopus)
Lineage: Eukaryota; Metazoa; Mollusca; Cephalopoda; Octopoda; Octopodidae
Source: RNAcentral
AGAACUUAGUCUUACUGGGUUGUUUUAGCUUCUCAUUUUCUGCAGCCUUUUGAGAGAAAAUCUUUAUGAAAAUAAUUUUUUCAAAACUUGCUUAUUAUUUAUUGCAUUUAAAAUUUUUUGUUUGGGGUUAAAAACUGAACAGAUGAUUCAUCAUUGGCAAGUGCAAAGUUAAUUUAGAUAUUUACUUAUAUAGCACCCUUUAAGAAUCAACACCUAGAAAAAGAAAUUUUUUGAUUGCUUGGGAUGAACAAGGUAACCUGCCAUUUUCAUUAUUUAAUACUUAGACAUAUUUCUGUUGAGGACAUCUCUUGAUAUGAAUUUAAAAUGAACAUCAAUGUUUUGCAAUGGUCUUGCUGUUGAAAAAUCAAACUAAAUAAUUAUGCAGGCAUUCAUCUAUUUACCAUCAGGUGUGCUUAACUCUAUUCGUCAAGUCUGUUAUCUGCAAGCUGUUCAUAGUGGCUCUUGGAGCAACCUAUUGCUGAUUUACUGUUAUCAAUGUUGCUGCAUUACAAUCAUUGAUAUAUCUGCUAUAACUCCUCAUGAGAACAACAACUAUUUUAUUUCUAAAAUGUCGUUGUUGCUGUAACUGAAGAAUAUUUCAGAUUUGAUGCUCUUCAUUUUCAUACAGUUUCAGCUCCAGAUAUAUCUAACUUAAGUACACAAUAAUGAAAGUCUGUUAGAUCAGACGUGUUCAAUUGUAGACAACUUUCACAUUCUAUGUAUUGAUUCUUAAAGUAUUUAUACACAUACACACACACACACACACAUAUAUAUAACCAAUCUAGAGUGAACUUAGCUUAUUUUUAAUCAGGGUAGAUGCAAUCUAUAAUUACUCAUACAGAAUAAGAGUAUAUGCAACUGUGUGUAUGGAUAUUUGUUGAGUUUUUAAAGCUAUAUAUUUUGUUUAUACCUGGAAACAGAAUUUUUACCUAGAAUGAAUUUUGUGACAUUUGAAGGGAUUUAUUAUAUGUGGUGUAUGCUCAUAAUUAUUUUACAUCCACUUUUCCAUACUUGCACAUACUGGACCAGUCUUUUCUACCAUUUGUUAGAUGGGUCUUCUUACCAUUUAUUGUGGUUUAACCUCUUGAGAUCACCAUUUCCUACAGUUAGCUUAGUUUUCUUCUUCCACACGAUCCUUCCAUUUGGAUCACUUGGCACUUCUUUACCCUAUUGUCAUGUGCCAUAUGCAUCAUAUGUCCAUACUGGUGUAGUCUUCUGUCUUGCAUGCUAUGUUUGAUUACUCUUAUACCCAGGCUUUUUCUCAGUUCAUUUGUGCGCCAUUGUUCAUGCACACUAACAUUCUACACCCAGCAGAGCAUGUUUGCUUAAUAUCUUUUCUGCCUUUGCACUGCCUCUGCAUUCAGUGCCCAUGUUUUGCUACCAUGCAACAUUGCACUUCAGACACAAGCAUCAUGCAAUCUGCCCUUCACUCAGAGAAUCGCCUUUGUUGCCUGCAGAAAUGGCAGCUCACUGGACUUUUUCUACCCUGUUCUUAUUUUGGCUAAUGUAUUCUCAGAAUACGUUCUGUCCACUGUUAAUUAGACCAUCUAGGUAACAGAAGCUAGCUAAUACUUUUAGAGAGCCUUGCUAUCAUAUGAAAGAAUUUAUCUCAUAUUGCUCUUGCUGCUAACUACUUCUAAGCAUUUACUAUAUAUAUGAAGUCUUUCUCUAGCCUAUCUGUAAUCCUACUUCAUCUCUUGAGUGUCCAGACUUCUCAUUUGGUAUACUGUACAGAGUUCUUACCCACCCUUUUUCGGCAUACUGUGCAUGGCUACUUUCCUGAUGGCAAUAGUCUUGUCUGCUUUCCUUUACUCGAAGGCCUCUUAAUUCCAAGCUUUGCUUUUGUGUUUGGCUGUUAUUAAGUGAACUAGGUUAUUGACAUACAGAACAUCCUAUGAACGAGCAGUCUUAAACCCCUCCAUUACAAUCUAAAGAGUUAUGAUAAACAGGAGCAGGUUUGAGAACCAAGCCUUGAACCUGCUGACUGAAUUCCACAGUAAACUCUUAACUGACUUUCAAAUUGCUGGUGGCUUGCAUGGAUUUUCACACACCAUUUGUCUAAAUCUGUGGUCAACAGAUAACAGAGCAUGGAACCCUGUUGAAGCCUUCAUCGGGUCAACAAGCUAAGUAUAGUGGCUUACUCUUAGCUAAGAAAUUUUGCAGUUGUCUUCACUAUGAAGAGGGCACUGUGAUAACCUGUCUUGGUGCUGACCCAUUCUUUUUAUUUAAGCUAAUUCUUUUCUUAAUUUGCUAUACUAUUGCUAUUUCCAUAAUUUGGUGUAUCUGAUGCUUCUGUAGUUGUUUCUUUUUCAAGCACUUCUUUUAUCCUUGUAGUAGCUGAGAUUCGUUAGUCAUUAAGUAUCACAAACCCCUGAAUUUCUUGACUGGCUAUAAACCAAGGCUUCUAUGUGAUCAUUCAACCUUUUAAAAUAGCAGCCAAGUCCCCAUCAAAUUGCAGUUAGAAAAGGAAGUUGAAUGUGAUCCUGGGUUCCCUUCAUAUAGGAAAUCUAUGAAAUGUUUAUGGCUAGAAUGACUUUGGCUGUAGGUUUGCUUGAUCAGGGCUGACCUUGGUCUAAACAACAACCUGUUUGAUUAUGCAAAUAACUAAGUAUCCACACUUUUACCAGAUAAUCUCUGCAUCUCAACUCUAUCUCUCAUGUUUUAGUUACAUUUUCUGUCUUCAUAUCUUUAAAUGUCCUUUUAAACCAUUUUGUCAGCUUUUCACAUUAAACCAUUUAAGUUUAACAUAUAGAAACAGGUUUUAUUACUUCCUUGCAGUAAUCAGUUUUGGUAAUUCAUACUAAAUUUAUGAGUUUGAACUAAUGUAUUGAUAGAGGUGUGAAAAGUGACCAUAGCUUUGAGUCUAUAUUCAAAAUUUCUUACGUCUUGUCAUAUUUUUUUGUUAUAUCUAUUCUAUAAUUCAGCUGAAAAAUUGGUUUUGUAAUGGGUGAAGUCAUCUUGUGGAAUAUUAUUCAUGUAAGGCAUGUCUGAUAGGUUAUGAAGUGGUCAGUGUUUUUAGGCUUGAACUGGUUUUGAUUUGUAUUAUAGUUUUAGUUUGUGUUUAUAUUAGGAGUAUAAAGAAAAUACAAGUUCAGAGAAUUGCAAAACGAAUCUAAGGUAUAAAGUUGUCUGGCUGAUAUUUUUUUGAUAG